GAUAAACGCUGGCGGCGUGCCUAAUACAUGCAAGUCGAGCGAACAGACGAGGAGCUUGCUCCUCUGACGUUAGCGGCGGACGGGUGAGUAACACGUGGAUAACCUACCUAUAAGACUGGGAUAACUUCGGGAAACCGGAGCUAAUACCGGAUAAUAUAUUGAACCGCAUGGUUCAAUAGUGAAAGACGGUUUUGCUGUCACUUAUAGAUGGAUCCGCGCCGCAUUAGCUAGUUGGUAAGGUAACGGCUUACCAAGGCAACGAUGCGUAGCCGACCUGAGAGGGUGAUCGGCCACACGGGAACUGAGACACGGUCCAGACUCCUACGGGAGGCAGCAGUAGGGAAUCUUCCGCAAUGGGCGAAAGCCUGACGGAGCAACGCCGCGUGAGUGAUGAAGGUCUUCGGAUCGUAAAACUCUGUUAUUAGGGAAGAACAAAUGUGUAGUAACUAUGCACGUCUUGACGGUACCUAAUCAGAAAGCCACGGCUAACUACGUG
This 496-nucleotide ribosomal RNA is filed under the name uncultured bacterium. RNAcentral's name for it is "partial 16S ribosomal RNA". It matches the Rfam family "Bacterial small subunit ribosomal RNA", at positions 28 to 507 of the family's 1533-position model. The record is from RNAcentral.